Molecule: non-coding RNA, 1192 nt
Organism: Theobroma cacao (cacao)
Lineage: Eukaryota; Viridiplantae; Streptophyta; Magnoliopsida; Malvales; Malvaceae
Source: RefSeq, a predicted model, not a curated record
AGCCAAGAUGUUUGCAACAGCUGCCUUAAUGACACCGUAUCUGAGCUCAGGAAGCGUUGUCCCUUUGCAAAGGAGGUGAUCGGGUGGUCUGAAUUUUGUAUGCUGCGCUACACCAACCGAGACAUCCUCGGAGAAAUGGAAAUCUCUCCUGGCUCUUGUCUACUCUACCCAGUGAACGUAAAGAAUCCUAAUCAGUUCAAUCAGGCAUUGAGUGAUCUGUUGAAUAAUUUGAGCAGUCGAGCCGCAGCUGCAGGUCCUCUUCGCAAGUAUGCGGUAGAUAUCUAAAGGGUGGGCCCUUUUCAAACAGUAUAUGCUAUGGUACAGUGCACUCCUGAUUUGUCCGAGGAAGAAUGUGGCGAGUGUCUAACUGUGGCUGAGGAUGAGAUUGGAAGUUGCUGCUUGGGGACGAUGGGAUGCAGGGUUCUUAGACCAAGCUGUUUUUUGAGAUUUGAGUCUAACCCAUUUUUUCAGACUCCAGUUCCUCUACCGUCACCUCCGCCAUCCCCAACUUCUUCUCCACCACCCUCUACAGGAGUGGAUACAUGACACCCGAAUAUACAAUGCAUGGUCAAUUUUUUGUCAAAUCAUAUGUUUUUAGUUUUGGUGUACUACUUUUGGAGAUUUGAUGUGGUAAAAAAAAUGGUGCUUUUCGUGUCGGGGAGAACGUAGAAGAUCUUCUAAGCUAAGUAUUAAUAUCCUUUGUCCUUUUAUGUGAGAUUGUAACUCAGUGAAAUUUAUUCAAAGCAUUAAAUCCUGUAGGCGUGGAGAAAUUGGAAGGAUGGGACAGCAUUGAAACUUGUGGAUCCCAUUUUGAGGGAAGCCUCAAGCACGGAAAUGAUGAGAUGCAUCCACAUUGGUCUGCUUUGUGUCCAAGAAAAUGCAGCCCAGAGACCAAACAUGGCUUCAGUUGUUCUGAUGCUUACUAGCUACUCUGUCGCUCUCCCACUACCCGCAGAACCUGCAUUUUUCAUGCAUAGCAACACUCAGUCAGAUAUGUUGUGGCUAAAUUCAGGGGCAACAGAAUCCACUCAAUCCAGAAAUGAAGCUGCCGCAGUCUCAGAAAAUGAGGUUUCAAUAACUGAGCUGCAUCCAAGAUAGCAAGCAGGUCACAUUUGUAAGCAUUUGUGUGUCAAAAUUCAGUGUUUGUUACAAUUUCCUCUCUCCGCAGUUUGAGAUGAUUACCCUUGGACCA